GACGGAGGAUGCAAGUGUUAUCCGGAAUCACUGGGCGUAAAGCGUCUGUAGGUGGUCCAAUAAGUCAACUGUUAAAUCUUGAGGCUUCACUUCAAAAUCGCAGUCGAAACUAUUAGACUUGAGUAUAGUAGGGGUAAAGGGAAUUUCCAGUGGAGCGGUGAAAUGCGUAGAGAUUGGAAGGAACACCGAUGGCGAAGGCACUUUACUGGGCUAUUACUGACACUGAGAGACGAAAGCUAGGGUAGCAAAUGGG
Molecule: ribosomal RNA, 253 nt
Filed under: uncultured bacterium
Lineage: Bacteria
Description: partial 16S ribosomal RNA
Rfam family: Bacterial small subunit ribosomal RNA
Source: RNAcentral